GUAAAGCAUGAAGAAGAGGAACAUUUCUUACAGUGAUGGAAACAAAUAGAACAAAAUGAGCUUAAGAAUAUAGAAUGUCAAACUGAGAACUUGCAAGCAUCCAGUGGGAACAUACAGUUAUUAUAAACGGACGCUUCAGACAUAGGUCUUGGAGCCAUGCCGAGCUGAAGGAUCAACGGAGUUGAACAUCCUGUCAUGUUCCUGAGUCGGAAACUGCUGGACUGGGAGACCAGUAGUCAAGUCUACUAAGGUUUGUGAGGAAAGCCAUUGGCCAGCACCACAUUCUGUUUCACCUUCAUGGGCUGCAAAGGCAAGCUGCAGAUUCAGUGAAAUACUACCCCCAGCAGGUUCUCCAAAUAUGGCCGUGUGUAACUGACACCUGAAGGUCUAUCUCUGUGGGAUGCACUUUACCAAUGAAGAUGUCAAGUCACCUAGAGAGGUGAAGAUAAUCAAGCAUUUUAAAACAAAUCAUUUUAUUUGAGUAGCAUAGAAAACCAUUGUGAAUAUUGCAAAAAGUGUACUAGUGCUCAUUGGGGAUUAAGUUGAAAAUUAAAAUCUUUAUGGUUUCACUGGUGUCUCUG
This is a long non-coding RNA of Polypterus senegalus (gray bichir), 581 nucleotides long. RefSeq lists it as uncharacterized. NCBI's taxonomy places the organism in Eukaryota, Metazoa, Chordata, Cladistia, Polypteriformes, Polypteridae. The record is from RefSeq and is a predicted model, not a curated record. The transcript has 3 exons.